Molecule: ribosomal RNA, 779 nt
Filed under: uncultured Neocallimastigales
Lineage: Eukaryota; Fungi; Neocallimastigomycota; Neocallimastigomycetes; Neocallimastigales
Description: partial large subunit ribosomal RNA
Rfam family: Eukaryotic large subunit ribosomal RNA (bases 8-697)
Source: RNAcentral
AGAGAUGUGUGAUGACGCAUAUCAAUAAGCGGAGGAAAAGAAACUAACAAGGAUUCCCUUAGUAACGGCGAGUGAAGCGGGAAGAGCUCAAAUUUGAAAUCUUCAAGGUUCUACCUUGACGAAUUGUAGUUUAUAGAAGUGUUUUCUGUUAGUAGAGUGGCAAAAGUUCUUUGGAAUAGGACAUCAUAGAGGGUGAGAAUCCCGUAUUUGACCGUUAUUCUUCUAGCUGUGUGAUACACUUUCAAAGAGUCGGAUUGUUUGGGAUAGCAGUCCAAAAUGGGUGGUAAAUUUCAUCUAAAGCUAAAUAUUGGCGAGAGACCGAUAGCGAACAAGUACCGUGAGGGAAGAUGAAAAGAACUUUGAAAAGAGAGUUAAACAGUACGUGAAAUUGUCAAAAGGGAAGCGUUUGACACCAGUGUUGUUUUCUCGAAAAUCAAUUAAAAAUGGAUGGAUUUUGUGUUGUAUUGACUUUAUCAGGCUUUCUGCACUUUUUUCAUGAUCUUUUUUAAUGCACUUUUCGUUUAACAAGUCAACAUCAAUUUCUUUUGUUGUAAAAGAGGUCAUUGGAAGGUGGCUUUCUCUUCGGAGAAAGUGUUUAUAGCCUUUACCUUCUGCAAUCGGAGAGAUUGAGGUCUGCAGCGUAGAUCCUUCGGGGUUAGAUACAUUUGUGCUAAGCUAUAGUUCUUUAUAGACAACUUGUUGACUAUGAUCAAUCCUGUAGCUUACUCGCUCAUGGCUAUUUUACCUACGCUUAGGAUGUUGAGUCGUAGAGCACGCAG